UCUUUUUCUAAAUAUGGUGAUUCUCUCACGUAGGAAAAACUACAAAAGCCGUGGAACCUGCGCAGUUUGGCAUCAGUAUACAUCUUGUCUUUGUUGAGCGGAGUCGAAUAACAUAUACAACGCUUUGAUCAUGCAUUUCACGCGUUUCGCGGUUUUCUUUUUCACCGUAUUGUCCUUGGCUGUAUUGAUUGCUGCAAAACCGCAAUCUGAUAUUCAAAGUACCUUAGAUAAAGUAGCCCAGGUUUUUAAUUCACGUGAUGGAUGCGUUUGGAAAGGAACAUCUCCAUUUUGCGAUGGAGGUUGCAACGUAAAGGGUCAUGUUGUUCGUGACACAAGCACAACUGGGGAUGGAGAAAGAUGUUUGACUGGCAUCAAAGUACUUUGCUGCCCUUCUGCUCUACCUGGCCUUUAAAGUAACUAGCGAAGUGGUUAGACCUCGCAUCAUAAAACCAACGGGAGUGACUCACUCAUACUUCAGUCACUUUUGUUGCAUCACCAACUGUACAUCUUUAGAAAAUUAAUAAAUAGUUAAAUGUUCAA
Long non-coding RNA from Daphnia pulex (common water flea), 540 nucleotides. RefSeq lists it as uncharacterized. Lineage: Eukaryota; Metazoa; Arthropoda; Branchiopoda; Diplostraca; Daphniidae. The transcript is spliced from 4 exons. The record is from RefSeq and is a predicted model, not a curated record.